RNAcentral lists this ribosomal RNA (227 nucleotides) under uncultured prokaryote. RNAcentral's name for it is "partial 16S ribosomal RNA". It matches the Rfam family "Bacterial small subunit ribosomal RNA", at positions 524 to 750 of the family's 1533-position model. The record is from RNAcentral.
UACGGGGGGAGCAAGCGUUGUUCGGAUUUACUGGGCGUAAAGGGCGCGUAGGCGGCGCAACAAGUCACUUGUGAAAUCUCCGGGCUUAACUCGGAAAGGUCAAGUGAUACUGUUGUGCUAGAGUGCGGAAGGGGCAACUGGAAUUCUCGGUGUAGCGGUGAAAUGCGUAGAUAUCGAGAGGAACACCUGCGGCGAAGGCGGGUUGCUGGGCCGACACUGACACUGAG